Molecule: long non-coding RNA, 1525 nt
Organism: Malaclemys terrapin pileata
Lineage: Eukaryota; Metazoa; Chordata; Testudines; Emydidae
Exons: 2
Source: RefSeq, a predicted model, not a curated record
CUGUCACUAUGAUCCCAGCCGGAAAUGCUUCUCAAAGGGGGGAGAGGACUAUAAAAAGAAAGGGGAAACACACCAAGGGACCCCUCCUCCUCGCUCUCACUCUCUGUCCAUUGAUUCACUGCACCAGAAGGAACAAAGAAAGCAGCCAUUACACAGAAGAAAGGGUCCUGGUCUAAGAAAUUUGGCCAGUAAAACUACUGGGAACAUGUGAUUCCAGAGAGUGCUAAAAGCUCCCAGUGAAGGACUUUGUUGGAAGAAUUACCAAAACAGAUCCUUUUUCAUCAAUGUUUCUUUCAAGAACUUGUGAAAUUUCCCACAUCAUUCCCUGUGGAGCUGGUUGUGGGGGAAGAGGAUUCUACCAGUUUAAUCAAUCGCUUUAGAACCACAGAAACACUUGACUAUGGAAACCUUAAGGUUGUAAUCUAUUAUUCUAUUGACCUGGUGGUUCCUGUAUAUGAAUGUACCCAUGGUAUCUGCAUUUAUGAAAUUAUUUUCACUGAUUCCUAGGAUUAUAUUUUAUUUUUAAAUGGGAUUAUUCUCCUGUGUGUUUUUCUCUCUCCUGCAUUUAAAUGUCCUCCACCCCCCAAAGUACCAACUCCAUAUAACAUUCCCUCUUUCCGGGAAGCGUCACUCCCUUUUCAAGCCAGCAGAGACUGGUUGAUCAGGCAGCAGUCUCUCACUAUGCAGAGAUCUAGUGCAUCAUGUGUUACCAAGUCCAGAAUAAACAAGAUUUCUGUGUGAAAUUCAGAGUGCUCUACUCUCACUAAUUCUGCUCUGUGGGGAGAAGCAUAUGAAAUAUUUUGUUUUGAGACCCACUGAAUCAGUGGCCAUUAUUUGAUUUUUAAAUUCCUUGUUAAAUUGAGUAACAAAUUAAACCCAUUUAAGUGUGCGAGAACCCCACUUGAACAUUUAGGUACAGGAUCUGUCUGUAAAUGGAUUAAAUCAAAACCUAGACAUUUAAGAUAAGUUACAUUAAAUAUAUUUUUUAGUUCAGAAUUGAAGAGAACUUUCACGAAACAUUCAAGAAGGUAAAACUUAUGCAGAUAUUAACAAUUUAGUAUAAAUGUUGUUUAUUUAGGUCAAAUAUUCUGAGUGUCUGUUAGCCCUUUAAUGAUUUGUUGAUAUCUGUAGUUUUCCUUAAGGCUAAACAAAUGAAGAAGCCAUCUUGUUUUCUACAUCACUGGACCUAGCAUGCGAUAGCAGAUUUCCAUGGCAACAGGAGCUAGUAUGCCUGGUGUGAAGACAACAGUGUAGGCCUCAUUUCCUAAAAGCAUGUUUCUACUAAAGUUGAAUAACCAAUUAAAAGACUCUUUUCUGUCCUCCAGGGCUUCAGAGAUGCAAAUAGAGUUGUGAAGCCUGCCUGGUCAGCUGUUAUACCUAGUAACUCUUACUGAUUGUUUAAAAAUAGACUUCCAUUGAGUAACUUUCAGUAAACAAGGAAAAACAAGAUGUUUCUAGAAUUUCACUGAGCGCUGGAUUAAUGCACAAAAAUAAAAGGGUUGUUUGAAAGAGUGGACUGAGACAA